RNAcentral lists this ribosomal RNA (440 nucleotides) under uncultured bacterium. RNAcentral describes it as "partial 16S ribosomal RNA". It matches the Rfam family "Bacterial small subunit ribosomal RNA", at positions 338 to 795 of the family's 1533-position model. The record is from RNAcentral.
CCUACGGGUGGCAGCAGUGGGGAAUAUUGCACAAUGGGGGAAACCCUGAUGCUGCGACGCCGCGUGGGUGAAGAAGUAUUUCGGUAUGUAAAGCUCUAGCAGCAUGGAAGCAAAUGACGAUACCUGACUAAGAAGCGCCGGCUAACUACGUGUCAGCAGCCGCGGUAAUACGUAGGGGGCAAGCGUUAUCCGGAUUUGCUGGGUGUAAAGGGAGCGUAGACGGCCAGAAAAGUCAGAAGUGAAAGCCCAGGGCUCAACCCUGGGACUGCUUUUGAAACUGCCGGGCUGGAGUGCAGGAGAGGUAAGCGGAAGUCCUAGUGUAGCGGUGAAAUGCGUAGAUAGUAGGAGGAACACUAGUGGCGAAGGCGGCUUCCUGGACUGUAACUGACGUUGAGGCUCGAAAGCGUGGGGAGCAAACAGGAGUAGAUACCCGGGUAGUC